GGUCAAUGAUGAUAAGUAAAAGGUCUGAAAGCACUGACGUUCUCAUGUAAUCCACACAGCUCCCAGCUGUCUCUGUACUUUCCCAUCAUGCACAAGUUAUGCUUUGAUUGGUUUAAGAGACUGCUGACAAAACUGGAUACCACACCUCAUGCAUUUCGGCUAGAUUUGAAGAAAUGCAGAUAUAAUAGGUAUCCUACAUUGCUAAUAAUUAUGGAGACUGGGAUAGGGUAGAACACUAUGCAGUGCAUGAUAACAAGUUUAAGCUGAGACC
Bombina bombina (fire-bellied toad) is the source of this 271-nucleotide non-coding RNA. RefSeq annotates it as small Cajal body-specific RNA 6. The record is from RefSeq and is a predicted model, not a curated record. The transcript has a single exon. NCBI's taxonomy places the organism in Eukaryota, Metazoa, Chordata, Amphibia, Anura, Bombinatoridae.